GACGAACGCUGGCGGCGUGCUUAACACAUGCAAGUCGAACGGAAAGGCCCUGCUUUUGUGGGGUGCUCGAGUGGCGAACGGGUGAGUAACACGUGAGUAACCUGCCCUUGUCUUUGGGAUAACUUCAGGAAACUGGGGCUAAUACCGGAUAGGAUCUCCUGCUGCAUGGUGGGGGUUGGAAAGUUUCGGCGGUUGGGGAUGGACUCGCGGCUUAUCAGCUUGUUGGUGGGGUAGUGGCUUACCAAGGCUUUGACGGGUAGCCGGCCUGAGAGGGUGACCGGCCACAUUGGGACUGAGAUACGGCACAGACUCCAACGGGAGGCAGCAGUGGGGAAUAUUGCACAAUGGGCGGAAGCCUGAUGCAGCAACGCCGCGUGCGGGAUGACGGCCUUCGGGUUGUAAACCGCUUUCGCCUGUGACGAAGCGUGAGUGACGGUAAUGGGUAAAGAAGCACCGGCUAACUACGUG
RNAcentral lists this ribosomal RNA (468 nucleotides) under uncultured bacterium. RNAcentral's name for it is "partial 16S ribosomal RNA". It matches the Rfam family "Bacterial small subunit ribosomal RNA", at positions 28 to 507 of the family's 1533-position model. The record is from RNAcentral.